AGUUACUGCCACCGACAUGAAAUGUGCUCAAUCAUGAAUUGAAUACACCAUGAAUACAACAAGGAUACCUCUUUUAAUCUUACACCUCCUGUUUUGGGAGGCACUGAUGAUACAAAGACAGAAGGAGAGGAGACAAGCAACAAGCAUCAAGUGCUAAGCAAAGCCUCCCCUCCAGUUGAUCACAUGUCUUCAGCCACCCAAAGGCAGCCAGAUAGGUCCUUGCAUUUCUGGCAUUUCUUCAACCACAUCUUCCAGCUCCUCUUGGGGACAUUUCCAGGCCAAAUGUGACAUGAAAUCCCUCCAGUGUGUUUUGGAUCUGCCCCAGGAUCUCCUCCCAGUUGGAAAUGCCCAGAAUACCUCAACAGGGAGGCGACUGAGAGGCGCGUAAUCAGAUGCCCAGACCACUUUAACUGGUUUGAUUGAUGAGUGUACAUGUUAACAUUAAGUGGCCCACCAAAGAAAAU
Long non-coding RNA from Xiphias gladius (swordfish), 464 nucleotides. RefSeq lists it as uncharacterized. NCBI's taxonomy places the organism in Eukaryota, Metazoa, Chordata, Actinopteri, Istiophoriformes, Xiphiidae. The transcript has 3 exons. The record is from RefSeq and is a predicted model, not a curated record.